Molecule: long non-coding RNA, 228 nt
Filed under: Nicotiana benthamiana
Lineage: Eukaryota; Viridiplantae; Streptophyta; Magnoliopsida; Solanales; Solanaceae
Description: long non-coding RNA (NBEN_LNC036115)
Source: RNAcentral
AGCGGAAGGUGAAGGAGGAGAUAUAGUAGACUCCCUAAAGGCCGGUAUAGGUAAAACCUCAGAUAUAUCAAGAUGGUCAGAAUGGUCAGAAGAGGUGAAGAAAGGUUUAGACUCAAAAAAUGUGACAUCGGCUGACAUAAUGUACCUACGAAGAUCAAGUGAAUAAAAACGAUAGCCCUUCUGAGCACGAGAAUAACCAAGGAAGACACACUUGAGAGCACGAGGAGC